GUCACUUUGGCGGAGUGGUUAACGCGCUGCCCUGCUAAUUCCUCGGGUUAGCAUGCUAGGCAGUUCCUUCGGGAGCACAGGUUCGAAUCCUGUAGGUGACG
Apodospora peruviana is the source of this 101-nucleotide non-coding RNA. The record is from the annotation of a GenBank genome assembly. NCBI's taxonomy places the organism in Eukaryota, Fungi, Ascomycota, Sordariomycetes, Sordariales, Lasiosphaeriaceae.